AAAAAUUAAUUUACGCCGCAGACAGCAAGUGGAAUUUUUCCUUAAUUUCUUGCCGAGGUAGUAAGAACAAAGUCAUAAUUUUGUAUUUUGUCCUUGUGCCGCGCGGUGCAAGGUUUUUUUAUUG
RNAcentral lists this small RNA (124 nucleotides) under human gut metagenome. RNAcentral's name for it is "Ribosomal protein L10 leader". It matches the Rfam family "Ribosomal protein L10 leader". Rfam says of the family: This family is a putative r-protein leader autoregulatory structure found in B. subtilis and other low-GC Gram-positive bacteria. It is located in the 5' untranslated regions of mRNAs encoding ribosomal proteins L10 and L12 (rplJ-rplL). A Rho-independent transcription terminator structure that is probably involved in regulation is included at the 3' end. The record is from RNAcentral.